RNAcentral lists this ribosomal RNA (253 nucleotides) under uncultured bacterium. Its description in RNAcentral is "partial 16S ribosomal RNA". It matches the Rfam family "Bacterial small subunit ribosomal RNA", at positions 524 to 776 of the family's 1533-position model. The record is from RNAcentral. RNAcentral also lists the same sequence under 1 other name.
UACGGAAGGUUCGGGCGUUAUCCGGAUUUAUUGGGUUUAAAGGGAGCGUAGGCCGUGGAUUAAGCGUGUUGUGAAAUGUAGAUGCUCAACAUCUGACUUGCAGCGCGAACUGGUUUACUAGAGUGUGCGCAACGUAGGCGGAAUUCGUCGUGUAGCGGUGAAAUGCUUAGAUAUGACGAAGAACUCCGAUUGCGAAGGCAGCUUACGGGAGCACAACUGACGCUGAAGCUCGAAGGUGCGGGUAUCAAACAGG